GAUGAACGCUGGCGGCGUGCCUAAUACAUGCAAGUCGAGCGAACAGACGAGGAGCUUGCUCCUCUGACGUUAGCGGCGGACGGGUGAGUAACACGUGGAUAACCUACCUAUAAGACUGGGAUAACUUCGGGAAACCGGAUCUAAUACCGGAUAAUAUAUUUAACCUCAUGGUUCAAUAGUUAAAUACGGUUUUGCUGUCUCUUAUAGAUGGUUCCGCGCCGCAUUAGCUAGUUGGUAAGGUAACGGCUUACCAAGGCAACGAUGCGUAGCCGACCUGAGAGGGUGAUCGGACACACUGGAACUGAGACACGGACCAGACUACUACGGGAGGAAGCAGUAGGGAAUAUUACGCAAUGGGCGAAAGCAUGACGGAGCAACGCCGAGUGAGUGAAGAGGGUGUUCGGAUCGUAAAACUCUGUUAUUAGGGAAGAAAAAAUGUGUAAGUAAAUAUGCACGUCUUGACGGUAACUAAUCAGAAAGCCACGGCUAACUACGUG
This 497-nucleotide ribosomal RNA is filed under the name uncultured bacterium. RNAcentral's name for it is "partial 16S ribosomal RNA". It matches the Rfam family "Bacterial small subunit ribosomal RNA", at positions 28 to 507 of the family's 1533-position model. The record is from RNAcentral.